AGUGAACGCUGGCGGUAGGCCUAACACAUGCAAGUCGAACGGCAGCACAGUAAGAUCUUGCUCUUACGGGUGGCGAGUGGCGGACGGGUGAGGAAUACAUCGGAAUCUACUUUUUCGUGGGGGAUAACGUAGGGAAACUUACGCUAAUACCGCAUACGACCUACGGGUGAAAGCAGGGGAGCUUCGGACCUUUCGCGAUUGAAUGAGCCGAUGUCGGAUUAGCUAGUUGGCGGGGUAAAGGCCCACCAAGGCGACGAUCCGUAGCUGGUCUGAGAGGAUGAUCAGCCACACUGGAACUGAGACACGGUCCAGACUCCUACGGGAGGCAGCAGUGGGGAAUAUUGGACAAUGGGCGCAAGCCUGAUCCAGCCAUACCGCGUGGGUGAAGAAGGCCUUCGGGUUGUAAAGCCCUUUUGUUGGGAAAGAAAAGCAGCAGGUUAAUACCCCGCUGUUCUGACGGUACCCAAAGAAUAAGCACCGGCUAACUUCGUG
Molecule: ribosomal RNA, 492 nt
Filed under: uncultured bacterium
Lineage: Bacteria
Description: partial 16S ribosomal RNA
Rfam family: Bacterial small subunit ribosomal RNA
Source: RNAcentral